AAACAGUGUCCCUGUUCCUUGAAAAUUUUUUAUGAAAAUCGUCGAAACAAAGUAUUGUAUGUUCUAUUUUAUCAAUUCAAUAUUUAUUUAUUCCUCGAAGUAUACAGUUGAAAAAGUCCUAAUUUCAGUGCAACUUUUAGUCGUGCCUCCAAUUUUUUUUAACAUUAAAUAAAAUAAAAUUAUAUUUUGCGGGAUGCCUAGCGCUCUUGUUAUUUGUUUUUGAUUAAAAUAAUAAAAGAUAUAAUAUACAUAUAACUCUUUAUCUAAAUGGAGCUGAAAUCGCAUGAGAAUUUCUUAUAUGAUGAGGAUCUACCAUCGCAUCAAAGCCCAAAGUAUUCACAUUCAGUAUCGACUAAUCAGAGGUCUCUAGGUAAAAAAAAACAAUUGGGUGAACAACUUUUAAAUGAUGAGGCAGCUGAGAACAUUGCUUCACUUAUGUUGCUCAAUUAUGACAGUAAGUUAUAUGAUGAGGAUGAUACUUCACAACCAACUUCCUGCACAGCUCCUAUAAUUCCUAUUGAGGCCCUGCGCAAGAAAAAGAAAAGGAAGAGAUCUCAAAUUUCAAUUUGCCUGACAAACUGUCGCUAUGAGUCAAUCCGCAAAGUCGCCAGCGCUUUUGGUAUGCGCGAAGUUUCUGAGGAGGAGGCGUGGAAUUUCUACUGGACAGAUAUGAGCGUUUCUGUUGAGCGGGCUAAGGAAAUGAAGAGAUUUCAACGCAUUAACCAUUUCCCUGGAAUGCUUGAGAUUUGCAGAAAGGAUUUACUUGCAAGAAACUUAAAUAGAAUGCAAAAAAUCUAUCCUAAGGAAUAUAAUUUCUUUCCAAAGACUUGGUGUUUGCCUGCUGAUUUUGGUGAAGCAUUUAACUACAGCAAGGCGCGCAAAAAUAAGACGUUCAUAAUAAAGCCCGAGUGCGGCAGCCAGGGGCGCGGCAUCUAUCUCACCAAGUCGCUCAAAGACAUAAAGCCCACAGAUAAACUCAUUUGUCAGGUAUAUUUGUCGAAGCCGUACCUUGUCGACGGUUAUAAAUUCGAUAUAAGAGUGUAUACGCUCAUUACUUCUUGCGAUCCCCUUCGGAUUUUUGUUUAUAAUGAAGGCCUUGUCAGAUUCGCUACAAGCCGCUACGCGGACCCCAACAUCAACAACACGACCAAUGUCUUCAUGCAUCUCACUAAUUACGCUUUGAACAAGCACAGCCGCACCUACGUCUACGACUCGGAAGCGGGCAGCAAACGCAAGAUAUCGACGCUGAACAAGCUGUUGCUAUCGCAAGGCGUUGACCUGGACCGACUGUGGCAUUCAAUCGACCAAGUGAUCGUGAAGACCAUCAUCUCCGCUUGGCCCAUCCUCAAGCACAGCUACCACGCGUGCUUCCCCUCCCACGAUAUGGUACACGCGUGUUUUGAGAUUCUCGGUUUCGAUAUACUAUUGGACCACAAGUUGCAUCCGUAUAUUUUAGAGGUAAACCACUCUCCAAGUUUCCACACCGACACGCAACUUGACCGCGAAGUGAAGGAGGGUUUGUUGACUGAUACAUUUACGAUGCUCAACAUCUGGCAGUGCGACAAGAAACGCGUGCUCGAAGAAGACCGCAAGAGGAUACGAGACCGAUUACUGCAGACCAACAAAUUUGCGGAAUAUGCUCCAUCUGAAGAAAAAGAGCCUGAAAAGAGUCCAUGGCAGACACAAAUACAAUGGGAAGAGACUCAUCUAGGAAAUUACAGGCGUGUGUACCCAGUUGGAGAACAGUACGCGAGUCUGUUCCAGCAGCCGUCAGGUUCCCUAUACACGGGUACGGCGUCGUCGCGGGCACGCGGCGACUGCACACGGCUGCAGCGGGAAGAGUUCCAGGCUUUACAGCAAACGAAAGCAAAAGCAGAAGCCUUAAAGAAACCAUCACUACCGAAAACCAAAGAGGGAGACAAGAAGGAAAAAGAUGGAGAGGAAGCGACCCUCACGACCGCGAGCGUUGCAAGUGAGAAGACGCGGCCGAGAGUGCGCGAAACGAAACGCAAGGAGAAGGAUGAAAAGAAUAAAUUGUCAACGAAAUCUUCGCCAGUGACACAACCGGUGCCUCAAACAGAAAUAAAGGAGGAGCCGUCGAAGCCGCCAUACGUUCAUUGCUCGUACGAGCCGGAUCCCAUCGUGGAGAAAGAAGAGCGCGAGCGCGUCAACUUGCUGGCGCAGAGAGAUUUCCUCAUCCGAAGUUAUGGCAUGCUCGAGCAGAUAUAUCUGGUCAUGAAAAAAAUGGGCACAUUACGGCCCGAAGACGAACGGAAGUAUGGCGUGUAUGGACGUUUAUCGAUUGCGUCUAAUUCGCCUAAGAAAGUGUAAGAAGUAACGUAGACGCAGCAGACACGACUAAAAUGUAUAAAGAAGUAAAGAGAUUAACAGAAGAGUAGAUAAAAUUAUGUGUGCAGAUAAAAAUAAAGAAGAACCAAUAAAGCUACCAAUUAUAGCCGAAACGUGGACGAUUAAUAACUUCCACAAUCGCACAAACUAUCGCACAAAGGAAAAAUGGGACAUUGUCUAGUGCCGUUCGUGUGUUCCUACAACUUAAAAUACGCAUUUAUAACUGUAUCAAAUAUAGUGACUGUCUUGAUAUGUUAUUUCAUGCAAUACAAAUAAUUUGCUUAUAAUUUACCCAUUUUGCAUAAUAAAUCAAAAUUCUGGGAACCUAGAAAUA
Molecule: RNA transcript, 2683 nt
Organism: Pararge aegeria (speckled wood butterfly)
Lineage: Eukaryota; Metazoa; Arthropoda; Insecta; Lepidoptera; Nymphalidae
Gene name: tubulin polyglutamylase TTLL13-like
Exons: 19
Source: RefSeq, a predicted model, not a curated record